Long non-coding RNA from Gasterosteus aculeatus aculeatus (three-spined stickleback), 2271 nucleotides. Lineage: Eukaryota; Metazoa; Chordata; Actinopteri; Perciformes; Gasterosteidae. The record is from Ensembl.
UUAGUUGUUGGGGUUCUUUUCUUUGGUUUUCUUUUCUCCUGCCGGUGUCUCGCCGGUCGGCGUCUCUAGACGCCAUGGUAAAUGGAGACACGUUCUCCCAGCUCACGAGGAAGCACGGCAUCAAGAUCGCCGCGGGCUUCCCGUGCAGCGUGGAGGACAUCGGGUUGGUUGUGGGGGAGAAGGUCGGGCACGGCAGCGUUAAGUCGGCCUCGCGCAUGAACGGCGCCGUGGUCAUCUUCCUGGACCAGGUGGAGAAGGUGAACCGUGUCGUGGAGGCGGGCCUCACGGUGAAAGAAUUGUUUGUCCAGGUGUUGCCAUUAACGCAACCGGCAACAAAAAUCGUACUAUCAAAUGUCCCUCCGUUCAUCACCGACGAGUUCCUCAGUAGAGAGCUGUCCAGACACGGAAAGGUGGUUUCACCGAUCAAAAAGAUCUUGUCUGGAUGUAAGUCUCAGUUACUGAAGCACGUGGUGUCUCACCGCAGACACCUGUAUAUGAUCCUUAACAACCGGAAUGUGGAGCUCAACCUCCGCUUCCAUGUUAAGGUAGAUGAUUAUGAAUACGUGAUUUUUGCAACAUCCUCGUCGAUGAAGGGUUUUUAAGUAACAGCCAACAAAAAAAAAUGUACGGUGCUGAAAAAAUAAGUAUGUUUUUAAAGAAAACAAAAGUGAAAAAGGGGGUAGAGGUCAUAGAUUUCUUCCCCGAUCUUAACUUGUUUUAUAUUUCUGCCAGACACCAUAUGAGCCGGAGGGAAGAGUCCGGCCUCACUGAGCAGGAGGGCUACAGAUUAAAGAAGCUCCUAGGGAAAGUACGCAGAGCAAUCAACAAGGGCAAUGUCGAAAUCUCCAAUGUGUGUUUUAAUUAAUUUAUUGGUUUUUAUUUUUGGUGCAAACUUACUCACAAUGAAUUUUUUUAAAAGCAUCUAUUUAUGAAUUAAAAAAAUUGAAGUGUAUUGAUGUUCUCUUCUUACAAGAAACUCACAGCGACAGCACCAACGAGGCCGACUGGAUGAGGGAGUGGGAAGGGGAAGUCCUCCUAAGCCACAAUACCAACCUCAGUGGAGGAGUGGGCUUCCUCUUCUCCAGGUCUUUUAAUCCACUGUCACUGGAGGUCAAACACAUCAUCGAGGGGAGGUUGUUCUUAGUCAAGGCACGGUUCGACCUUUUUACUGUUGUUUUUAUCAAUGUGUAUGCUCCAACAAUCGGUGCAGAGAGGAAGCUGUUUUUACAAAAAAUUGAUAAUGUUUUAAAUGGCUGUGCCCCGGAGGAUUUUUUAUUUUUGGGGGGGGAUUUUAACUGUACGGAAAAUGAUUUGAAAGACCGUAAUCACGCAGAGCCACAUCCAGCUUCCCAGCGCGUUCUGAGGCAGCUGGUCCAAUCUCAUGGCCUGGUGGAUGUGUGGAGAAGGAUGCAUGCAGACUGCCGACAGUACACGUGGUCCCUUUUUAGAGAAGGUAGAAUCUCCUCAGCCAGGUUAGAUCGUUUUUAUGUUUUUAAGCAACAUUUUAAUAUUUUUAAGAUGUGCAGUAUUGUCCCUGCUGUUUUUACUGAUCAUUCUUUGCUUUUAUGUAAUGUUUUUAUUGGAAACGUUUUACCUAGAAGUGCAUAUUGGCAUUUUAACUCUGUAUUAACUUGUGAUAAAAAUUUUAGAGAGGUCUUUGUAUACUUCUGGGGUGUUUUUAGGCUGAGGAAGAGUGAGUUUAGCAGUCUUAAACAGUGGUGGGACCACGGAAAGAUUGAGAUUGGGCUCCUCUGUCAACAGCACACCUUCAACGUCACCAGAGACAUCGCUAGAUCUAUGAAGGAGAAAAACUGAGAUAGUGGAACUAGAACAUUUAAGCGAGUCCACAGGAGAUCGAGGACAUUUUGAAGUCCUCAAAGGGAAAAAAAUGGCUCUGGCCGACCUGUUUAACGUUAAAGUCCAGGGUGCACUGGUCAGGUCCCGAUUUCAGACCAUCACAGAGAUGGACACUCCCUCUAGCUUCUUCUUCGGCCUGGAGAAGAAGAGUGGGCAGGGGAGGGUGAUCCACUCACUGUUAGGUGACGCAGGGCAGCCAGUUGUGGAACCAUGCCAGAUUAGGAGGCGAGCUGUGGCUUUCUUCUCCUCCCUAUAUACCAGUGAGUACGGGGAGGAGGAGGCACUGAUGGAGGAGCUCUGCAGUGAGCUUCCUCAGGUCCAGGAGGAGACCAACGCAAUGCUUGACAGGCCAAUAAGCCCAGGGGAGCUGAGGGCCGCCUUGAUGGGCAUGCAGGGAGGGCGUGCCCCGGGAAU